RNAcentral lists this ribosomal RNA (478 nucleotides) under uncultured bacterium. Its description in RNAcentral is "partial 16S ribosomal RNA". It matches the Rfam family "Bacterial small subunit ribosomal RNA", at positions 28 to 507 of the family's 1533-position model. The record is from RNAcentral.
GAUGAACGCUGGCGGCGUGCUUAACACAUGCAAGUCGAACGAGAAAUGGAGACGGAAACCUUCGGGCGGAAGGCUUCAUUCCGAGUGGCGGACGGGUGAGUAACGCGUGGGUAACCUGCCUCAUACAGGGGGAUAACAGUUGGAAACGACUGUUAAUACCGCAUAAGACCACAGCACCGCAUGGUGCGGGGGUAAAAACUCCGGUGGUAUGAGAUGGACCCGCGUUCGAUUAGCCAGUUGGCGGGGUAACGGCCCACCAAAGCGACGAUCGAUAGCCGAUCUGAGAGGAUGACCGGCCACAUUGGGACUGAGACACGGCCCAAACUCCUACGGGAGGCAGCAGUGGGGAAUAUUGCACAAUGGGGGAAACCCUGAUGCAGCGACGCCGCGUGAGUGAAGAAGUACUUCGGUAUGUAAAGCUCUAUCAGCAGGGAAGAAAAUGACGGUACCUGAGUAAGAAGCCCCGGCUAACUACGUG